This is a long non-coding RNA of Mastomys coucha (southern multimammate mouse), 3456 nucleotides long. RefSeq lists it as uncharacterized. The record is from RefSeq and is a predicted model, not a curated record. The transcript is spliced from 2 exons. NCBI's taxonomy places the organism in Eukaryota, Metazoa, Chordata, Mammalia, Rodentia, Muridae.
CCGCAGAGCUGAGGCGAGUGCAGACUUCUCUGCCUCCUACUGCCCAGGGCAAGCUCAGGAGGGUCCUAAACUUACCUAAGUUUCCAGGGCAGCUGUGAAGCUGUGCACAGAAGCUCACUCGGCCGCAGGAUGACACAGUGGACCUAUGUAGAGCCAAGGAAGAUAGCUGCACAGGGACAGGCCGGCGAUGUUGAAAGUCCAUAGAGAUCAGUGUGUUUCCCACCAGAACCAGAUGUGAAGACUCUUUCACUGAACACUCCAUGUUCUUUGGCUUCAGGAAAGAGCAAUGUCAAGCAUCAAGCUGCAGCUGAUCUGGAUGCUUCCUUCCUGAUGCUGGAAUGUGCUUUGCAGGUUCUGGGAGAGAAAUCAUGAACAGGCUUACGUUCAUGUGCUACGUGAGUGAGCUGCUGAGCAAUAUGCUACUGGACUGAUAGCUUUCUGACUGUUAAGGGAGUAGCCAGCUGCUUUUGACUGGAUUUGAGGUCAGCUCCACUUGGAAUUCACCUUAGGUGUUAGAAAGCUGUUCAGUAACCCUUAGCUGGGGAGCCACUAGGCCCUGCUGUGGAAGGUUCUACUGAUUUGCUAAAUGAGCAAGUUGCACCCAGCAAGUUGCCUUCUAAAUAGUUAUGCCUAUGCCUACAUAUUAGUGGUGCUCUCAGUUUUGGUCACUUAAACUUCUUUUUCAGUUAGUGGUAGCUAUUGCAGCAGAGACUCAGGGUCAAAGUGCUAAGAGUUGAUGACUGUUGAAGACUCAGCACUAAAUAGGACAUCGAUAUCAUUCCAAGCCUCAGGGAACAUUGUGGAAGAUGGAGUGGAAAAAAAAAGUCUAAGAGACAGUAGAGGUAGUGGGAACUGAUGGGACUCUGUCUUCAGGCAACAUCACGUUCCACACGCAUGAACUCAGAGCAGCACCUGGACGAGUCUGGGUACCUCAACAUUGCAUCACAGUGUGUAUACCUGUGGCAUGAUCAAAGAGGACUUUUAAUGAAGAAAGUCAUGGCUGGCCAAGGUGCUGAGAGCAAGUGCCUGAUCAGUGCUCAUAGAAUAUUGUAGAAGAAGAAGGGGAUUGUGAGCACCAGACAAUGGGGUGGGGCGGGGAUGUGAUAUGCCAUUAGUUGUCAGGGGAGUAACAUAACUAUGGUCCUCAUGAAUUCAGAGCAGCUACAGUAGUUACCCGAGCCUACAAGACGGAGCCUAUAAACCUCCAUUCACCAGAGCUGGAUGUGAAGCCCCUGUUGCUGAGAACUCCACUGCUGUGAUUUAGGAUGUAGAGAAAUCAAGGUGAAGCAAAGCUGGAAGCUUUCUCCCUGCUGGCUAGAUCUGAUAGUGCCAGAGUAUGUGAAUGAAGAUCCUAAGGGAAAAAGUCACCAAGCGUACUCACUUCCAGCUCCUCUGCCGCAGGAACAGCCUGCCAAGCGUUCUGCCUUCCACCAGAGUGUGUGUGUGUGGGGUAACCUAUUCUUCUCUAUAAUUGAUAUACCCAAAAAUGUCUUUUGCUGUUGUGAGAUAGACUUUCCCUGGGGAUACACAACACACACACACAUGUAUAUAUAUAUGAGUAUAUAUACAUAUACAUGCAUAUGUAUAUAUAUUCACCCCAGAAAGUAAAUCCACAACAGACUGCCACUUUUGAAUGGAUUUGAAGCCAGCUCUCCCAGGACUUCAUAUCUAGUACCAUAAAACUUUUCAGUAGUUCUUGGCAGAGUAACCCUGGUGAGGGAAGAUCCUACUAUUGUCAUAGAUGGGAUUGGGGGUCAUGGGGUCUUGCCUAGCUAACAGCUAUGUUGGGCUACUGGAGAAAAGAAGUCACUGUCUUUAGUGUUGUACCCCUGACAGCUCAUGGAUCCUUGGCAUCCAUUCUCAUGUGAGCAUCCCUCCUUAGAUCCAGUGCGCCAUGAAACAAAACCAAAAUGUUACUACUGUGGGAAGAUGAGUUGGUGGUGGUAGGAAGAGGACAAGAGAGGGUCACGUGACAAAGGUGGCCAGAAUAUUUAUUUACAUGCAUAAAUAUUUCCCAGAGUAAAUCCAUUCAAAACUAUUUGGCAUUUUAACAUUCUGUGAUGGGUAGGUGCAGUGCUAACUAGACCCAGCCCCUCUUUGGGGAUUUGUAGGUGGUUAGAGAUUGCUGUUAGGUCCUCAUGAAGACCCACUCUUCCUUGAGGACAUAUUGGCAGUUAGUGGGGAUGGAGGUCAGGGGGUAGAGAGAUAUUUCUUUAAUGAUAUAGCCAUUGUUAGCUGCCUGUGCUCCUUUAAGCAACCCUGAUUGAACUCAUUAGAUCAAACACACAAAAUAUGGGAAAGUGGAGGUCUGAUUGGGAAGAGGAAGGGGAUUAAUGAGAGCAGGAAGUGGCCCCAAAAGGGUAAUGGGGAAGGAAUAUAAUAACAUAUAUUAUUUUGUAUAAUUAAUAUAUGCCAAAAAUGUGUCUUUUGCUGUUGUAUGAAAAUAUUUUCUAGGGAUAUGGAACAUACACAUGCUCACCUCUGAAAGGGAACCCACAGUAGACCACAGUAGGGUUUGCACACAAGUCCGGCUUCUUGAUGAACCAAUGAUCUUUGUUGGGGUUACUAACAGGAGUGUGGACCAUAGGCUGUUUACAGGAGCAACUUUUUAAAAGCAGCUAUGGGGCUGAAGAGAUGACUCAGAGGUUAAAAGCAGUGGUGGCUUGCCUAUAGAAUGCAGAUUCAAUUCCCAGCUUCCACAGAGCAGUUCUGUAACUACCGUUACAUGGAGUCUGAUGCUCUCAUUUGGCCUCCAUAUUUGACACCAGGUAUGCAUGUAGUAUACAGAAAUAUAUUCAGGCAAAACAGCCAUACACAUUUUGUAAAAAAGUGAAGUAUCUCUGAAAAGCUGACCACAAUACAGGAAAGCUGCAACUGGGAGCUUCUUGCAGGGUUUGCAGGCAGCUGCCAGUCCUGAGAGCUUUUCUCAGCCUCCUGGCUGGUCAGCGGCUCUUCCCCCGGUAGCCGUUUUUUUGUCAAACCAGGGAGAGGUAUUAUAGAAUUUUCCAAAUUUCUUCCUUCAUGGAUUUGAAACCUUCUGUUUACUUGGCUCUUGAAUGAGCCUUCCUUUCCCUCCUGCAGGGAAUGUUUCAAGAAGAAAUGACCAUACAUGGUUUGCAGAGCAGGAAUUUGCCCCUUUCCCUUGAUCUUAGCACACAGGCUGAGAAAAUAGAUUUGAAUAAAUUCCCACAUUGUAGUGGCUUCUUGCAUAGAACAUAAUUGUAUUGCAUCUACAAAGCUCAUCGUGAAACCAUGUGGCCAACUUCAGUCCUAGAAUUUCAUUAUUUUUUUCAUUUUGGUUGUUGAUCCAUGGUCUACUAUGCAUUGAUUGUAAUUGUUGUGAUAAAUGAACAUGAUUUAAAGUCAUAUCACACCAUUUAUUUGUAUUGUACAGUUGCUAAGGCCCAUCCCCACAGUGGUUUCAGAAUCUUAUUUAACAGUGUAUCUAUUUAAUAA